This is a non-coding RNA of Acanthosepion pharaonis, 113 nucleotides long. NCBI's taxonomy places the organism in Eukaryota, Metazoa, Mollusca, Cephalopoda, Sepiida, Sepiidae. The record is from the annotation of a GenBank genome assembly.
UAUGGCCAUAUCAUGUUGAAACACCAGUUCUUAUAUGAUCACCAAAGUUAAGCAAUGUUGAGCCUGUUCAGCACCUAGAUGGGUGAUGGCUUGGGAAUACCAGGUGAUGUAAG